GGCGAGCUCCCAGCUCCCUGCCUGCAUUAGGGCCCACGUGCCCUGGGGUGCCCACUGUUGGGACCCUGGGCACACAGGAAGUAGAGCUGGCAUCAGAGCUGAGGAGAGGGUGGGCAGGAUGGGACUAUCACAGGCGGUGAGCCCUUGGGUGGUCAGGGUCAAGGGGUGGAGAGUUCCAGGGCUGCCCUGGCUGCCCCACCUCAUAGUGGCUUUGGACUGUCACCUUAGCUUGUAUUUUUUAAGUAUAACAAUGCUCCCCAUCCCAGCUUCUAAGAAGUUUUGUGUUUGCCUCAAUUUAUAGAUAAUUGUUAGGAAAUAUUGUUCCGGUGCUACAGAUGCCUUUGAAUAUUUUCUUGAGGUGAUUUUAGAGUAGACGGUCUCCUUUGAUAAUUAUUUCAAGCUUAUCAUUUCAUGCUUAAUCCAGAGCUCAGGGGAGGUGUUAAAUCCCUUGCCAUCUCUCAGUGGAUUCAUGUGGUGUGUGUGUGUGUGUGUGUGUGUGUGUGUGUGUGUGUGUGUGUGUGUAUGUGAGCAUUCAUCCAUGAUCAUGGGGAUGAAAUCGCCCUUAGUCUUCUCUGGCUCAGAGUUCCACGGCCUGAGUGCUCUUCUGCUCUGCAGUGCAGUUUCCCCAGCAGCUGUCCACUGGAUUCCCAUUGCCCCCAAUCUCCUACCCAUACAGCUGGUGUGAGCAACAGUCUUUACUGAAGGCCAUGCUGCUCAGCUCCUUCUCAAACUCCUAGCUCCCUCCUUGUUCCACCAACCACUCCGGUUUCCCUUCAGAAGCCCUAUUCUCUGCCUCUCAUUUGAAGAAGCAAUGCAAGUUUCACUGUUCCCUUAUCUCAGAGUCUGCCUUAGUCAUAGCAGCAGCAUCUUUAAUGUGCCUGAGAAACCAAGGGCUACCCAAGCUUUCAAUUCUUCAGUCACAACGAACCAGCAAGGACUCUGAAAGAGGAGCUUGUCUUAGGCUGAGUUUCCAGAAGCAGAUUCUAACAAGAGGAUUCAUGUGAAAGUCGUUGAAGAAGUGUUCCCAGAGAAAACUUGUGGGAGGGUGUAUGGGUAAGUGGGAACCAGGAAGGAGACCAAGCAGAGGUGUGACAGGAAGAUUGCUUUGGUUCAGUCCCUCAUGGGAACUCUGGAGAUACCUUAAAAUUGCUCCCAGUGGGGAGCAAGAGAGCUAGAGUAAUUGACUCCCAAGUUUGUCAGCCAUUUGUGCAGAGCAGCCCCUGGGGGACCUAGCUUCCCAGGCUCAAUACCAAGAGAUGCAGGUGCAGGAUGUUGGGAGAGACGGCACAAGAAAGCUAAUGUGGGGAGCACACUGCUAUGAGUUCCAGAACUCUGAAAAGAGCAGAAGCAGGCAUUCCUGUGGAUGUGGCAGCAGCAGCUCAUUCGCCAGGAUGAGAGCUAUUUUUCCAGGCCCUUCUCCCAUUGUCUGAUCCUCUCAGGCAUGACUUGGCUUCUCAGGAUGACUGCAGCUUGCAGGGUGCUCACUGACAGAAGAGACAGUUCAACAGUAUCUUCCUCAGCUGCUAUUUGCAAACGGGUUGCUGGUCUGAACACACAUGCAGAGAGAGAAUUCCUCCUGACUUGCCACAUAACUGAAUGCCCACAGUGUCAGGCAACCAGCCAGUAUACAGAGGCCUCUGAAAACCGGAGGACGCCGCAGACAUUCAAGAGGCCCUGCAGACAUCCUGCAGCUUCCGAUGCGUCUCCCCUCAGGUACUUGUCCACCUCUGACAUCUCUGUGUUGUGAGGCAGCAACAUUGAAAAUGUAUGCAUUUAUUCCCUCCUCCUUCCCAGAGCCUCCAAAUGACAGUAAAAAGAUUACAACAGAAAAAGCUUAAAUGCACAAGGACAAAGAGAAUUGGUGAGGUUAUAGGAAUGGAUGAUAGAUGUCAAGAAAAUUUUGGAACCUGGAAAGUCAGUGGUAACUGACUCAGAAGAACAGAGAAAAUUGAAGUUUAAACCUAAAAAGGUGGGUAGUACACAUCAAAGAGAAGCAAACAGACUCCUUGCUGCAGGACCCCUAGUGGAGUACCCCUGAAGGUUGGGGUCUGGAGUAGGGUUGAAAGUAGAAGACACCUUUUGGUUAUCUCAAGAGCAGUGAGCCUCCCAGAUCUCUAACCCCAUUCUACACAGCCAGACUGCCUUUCCCCACAAUGGAAGAGGAUGGGAAUGUUCAAAUGAAGAGCUGUGGAUUUGGAGCUCCCAGGUACAGCUGAGAACAGGGAACUAUAGUGAAAAUGGGUAUGAAGUGAAAGUCUCCCUGUGAAUGGCAAAGCUCCCAACUCAUUUCCCCUGCUCAGAGGCCGGAAUGAUGGAAGACAAGCUUUUAUACCCUCUAGGAAAAAGAAAGGAAGAAAGUUGCCUCUCUGGGAAAACUGACUAGGCCAAGAGAAAAGACCUACUAACUAACAUUGGUAUCUCCCCAGCGCAAUGUCUCCCCAAUGAAAUAGCUGGGUCCCCCAACACCUUCCCUCCAUCAAUCUCAGGGCACAGAGGCCCCAUCCACGCACACAGAACUUUAGAUCAGUGUUGUGGUAUCUUUAAGUCUCAGUAGGUGGGGUAGCAUCACCUGACAUCAGAGGAGAGCAACUCACACAAAAGACAGAGAUUUGAAUCAUCCACCCACCCAACCAGACAGAAGAGGGGGAAUCAUAUUGCAGAAAGUAAAAGAAAAUUUUAAGGAAAAUCCUAAACCUCAUAUGUCUUGUGUUUAUGAAAACACAAGAGUAACCUAUAAAAAGGAAUCUAACAAUAAAAUUUCAAAAAUAUAUAAAGGGUAUAUAUAAAGGAACUAGAGUUCUUGAAUAUUCAAAAUAUGAUAACAUAAAAAACUUAACUGAUAAAUUAUAGUAUAGGUUCAGUAAUUCUCUGACAUAGUAGAAGAAAAAAAAAAGAUGCAAAUAAUAGGAGAAAAGAGGCAAGAAAAAUUCAAGGGUUAUCCCAGAAGAUCCAAUAACUCACUCAUA
Molecule: non-coding RNA, 2966 nt
Organism: Ictidomys tridecemlineatus (thirteen-lined ground squirrel)
Lineage: Eukaryota; Metazoa; Chordata; Mammalia; Rodentia; Sciuridae
Source: RefSeq, a predicted model, not a curated record